This 523-nucleotide ribosomal RNA is filed under the name uncultured Hanseniaspora. Its description in RNAcentral is "eukaryotic LSU rRNA". It matches the Rfam family "Eukaryotic large subunit ribosomal RNA", at positions 62 to 584 of the family's 3401-position model. The record is from RNAcentral. Lineage: Eukaryota; Fungi; Ascomycota; Saccharomycetes; Saccharomycodales; Saccharomycodaceae.
AAACCAACUGGGAUUACCUUAGUAACGGCGAGUGAAGCGGUAAAAGCUCAAAUUUGAAAUCUGGUACUUUCAGUGCCCGAGUUGUAAUUUGUAGAAUUUGUCUUUGAUUAGGUCCUUGUCUAUGUUCCUUGGAACAGGACGUCAUAGAGGGUGAGAAUCCCGUUUGGCGAGGAUACCUUUUCUCUGUAAGACUUUUUCGAAGAGUCGAGUUGUUUGGGAAUGCAGCUCAAAGUGGGUGGUAAAUUCCAUCUAAAGCUAAAUAUUGGCGAGAGACCGAUAGCGAACAAGUACAGUGAUGGAAAGAUGAAAAGAACUUUGAAAAGAGAGUGAAAAAGUACGUGAAAUUGUUGAAAGGGAAGGGCAUUUGAUCAGACAUGGUGUUUUUGCAUGCACUCGCCUCUCGUGGGCUUGGGCCUCUCAAAAAUUUCACUGGGCCAACAUCAAUUCUGGCAGCAGGAUAAAUCAUUAAGAAUGUAGCUACUUCGGUAGUGUUAUAGCUUUUCGGAAUACUGUUAGCCGGGUA